This is a long non-coding RNA of Gasterosteus aculeatus aculeatus (three-spined stickleback), 2912 nucleotides long. The record is from Ensembl. NCBI's taxonomy places the organism in Eukaryota, Metazoa, Chordata, Actinopteri, Perciformes, Gasterosteidae.
GGCCGCGUUCAGCCUUUAUUGUGGUUUUCGUGCAGUCGGCAGAGCUGUUUGUUCUUUAAAGGACUGAGAUGCCAGCAACGACUACGAAUACGCUGAACCUGAUACAGAUUGUGGGGGUCAAAUAGCAGCUGGAGAUGUGCAGUAAAAGAACAAGAAGAAGUGCAGCCCUCAGGAGAAGCUGAGUGAAGGUCUCCUGUGGGCGGCGCGUCUCCGUCACAACCUCAAAGAUACAAGACGAAACCACAAAUCAUCAUUUCGUGGCCUCGUUUGUCUUCUUCAUCUCCGCGGCGGCGCUGAAGUCAAAGCCGCGGCGCCGCACAGAAAACUCACAUAUUGACUGAACGUGGCGCGCUGGCCCUCGAGAAGGAAGGGGAAGAAGAGCUGGAACACCACCAGCGUGGAGUUACGGAGGCCGCCGCGGUGAACGCGACAUGGAGGACCUCCGCCGUCACAACUAUUAGCUCGGUUCCUCUGACGCCCGGGAACACUGUCGCUUCUGAUCGCUCCUCCAGCGACGACCACGUCCGCUAGAAGAAAAGCCUUCACGCGUUCGGGCUGCAGGGUUCCCGAUGGACCGCUUCUUCUUCUCGCUGGCAUUAACGCCGUCGAACCUUUUUCUGUGUGCGAUCACACGUCGUCUGCGUGGAAACCAGAGGAGGAACAAGAGGACCUGCGAUUACAGGGAGGUUCUUCUGCUGUGAGUGAGACCCGUGAGUUUUAGAAGUGCUAUUCCAUAAUUAGACGUCUGGUGAGAGAGAGAGAGAUUUACUAAUUGCCCGAAACAGGUCGUUUACAAAGUAUCACAUGUUUUCAGUAUGAAUUCCCAAAAAUGACUGAGACUGAGUGGAAGCUAAUUCUCUUAAAUCGCUCGCGUGUCGCCUCUGGUUUGCGUGCUAAUACCUGUAAAAGCUUCUUGACGUCAGUCUCGUCCCGUCCAAGCAGGUAAAGUGAGGAGCGCCAAAGAGGCUUAACUCCCCUCAGUCCAUUCAGCUCCUCUGGACAGAGCGGCCGGGGUGUAAUAACGAGAACAAACGCACCCAACGAGGCAAAAAAAGGGGUGGGACAAAGGGAGCGCGCCGCGUUUCCAUCAGCCAUCGGCGCCCUCAAUCUGACACCAUCAGGCCCGACUGACCCCCCCCCCCCGCCCCCCGACUGACCGUCUGGAACAAAGUGUGAAAAUUCUUUUGGAAGCCCCGACAUCGGAGAGCGAGCAAUCUGCUUCCGACUCCCCUCCGAAUCCCGACCGUGAUUACAAAUAACCAAGUGGAGCUCGUGAGCUACUCGAGCAGCGACUAAGCUCCCAGACGCAGCCGGUAGAAGCCCCCACCCCCGAGUGGUGGAAAGAUCCCUGCGCGAGUAGAAGUUGAGCAGCGGGGGGCCACUUCUCACCGUCUACACGGACACUGUCGCCUUGUUUACCGGAGCCGAUCGAUCUCCUGCGUCUUCUACGUCGGCUCGUCAUUUUCUCUCCUUUGCGUCAGGCCUCUCGAGGGGGGAGGGAGAGCCGAAAAGAGACGGUAGGUGCGAGAUAUGGUCAAAGGCAAAGUGAAAAUUAAUUAGCUCCGAAAAAAGAAUGGCUUGCUGGCACAGAAAAGAAGCUUCGCGUUUAACUGAUCCCAGAGCUCAUUGUCACCAGAGCAGCGCGCGGCCCCCCGGCCCCUCGCCGCGCAAGCUGCACCUUCCUUUGUCUGCACCAUCGCUCCGUGGAGGAAACUGAAAAGAACCUGGCGUGAUUAAGACGCCUGAAUAGACCCCCCCCUCCUCCCUCCUCUCUCUCAUCACCGCCGUCGCUAUCUACACGCCGUCACUCGCCGCCAGUUCACCUGGACGGCACGCGACUGUUUCUUAAAGGUGUUUUUCUGUGGUUGGUUAAGACGUUGUUCACACACGAAUGACUUCCCUGAUGAACGCCCCCCCCCCCUCCAGGUGUCGUCCUAAUCAGCGAGCAUUGUGGGCAAUCUUAUCACGGUGUUUCUCAAUUGUUUGAAGUCAUUGUCACUCCGCUGCUCGGGGGCACAAUGACUGCUCGCACAAACGCCGCGGCGGAACCGCAGCGCCUUUUGUUCACGUUUGUCACCCUGCGUUUUUAAACUUAAAUCACCGGCGAGCAACUCAGACGCCUCAUGAGGUCACGAUGGUUCUAUCGGCGAGCGGAGCUGCGGCAGUAAAAGAGGCGAGCAGUGAUCUGCAGCGAGGAGAUCCGGGCCCUUCGGAGCUCUGGAAGAUGCAGGUGCAGGGCGAAGCGGCGGAGGCUCCUCGGGGGGCCGUGACGAUGACGAGGUGCCGACGGGGGGGAAGAAGAGUUCAUGAAGUCCAAGGCGGUUUGGCAGAAUGACAGAGUCUCCUACAAAGCACCCAAACGGUAGAAAAUACCUCUUCAUCGAACCUGCGAUUCAUUCAUUCAUUCAGACAUUAUUCGCCGUCGGGGUCGGUCAGCUGUCACUAAACCGGGAUUACCGCAUCCGCUCCAACGCAUUCAAAUGUGCGGCUGAGCGGCAGCUCACACGAGGGAGGACGGAGGGACACGCCAGGGUCAGAUUCCAUCUCCCUGAUCCAGAGAGAGGGAGAUUUCUCUCUACCGCUUCACGCCGACUGGUUCCCAACAAACAGGGAGGAGAGAGAAUAGCGUUCGGUCCACUUCCUGUCUCUCGUCCUCUGCACAGGGCAUCGCGGUGACGUCCCAAUAAACAUUAACAUUAGAGACCUGAGAGAAUAAGAGACAUCCACGAGAACAAUAAACAGGCACUUGAAGCAGUUCGGAGAAAGGAUUGUGAGGACGAACGUGUCUUUAACGAUUGCAACGCCGCCACAUCCCUCUUCUUUAAUAACUUGACUUUGUCUGGAAGUUACAGCGCAACAAAGACGCUGGAAUAGAAACGGACAAAACAGGAAACCAUUUCACCACGUAGUUC